Long non-coding RNA from Anolis carolinensis (green anole), 3913 nucleotides. RefSeq lists it as uncharacterized. The record is from RefSeq and is a predicted model, not a curated record. NCBI's taxonomy places the organism in Eukaryota, Metazoa, Chordata, Lepidosauria, Squamata, Anolidae. The transcript is spliced from 3 exons.
UUAUUAUAUAAUCUGUCAGCACAUGAGAUCUUCUCAAUGCAUGCCUUUUCAGGGGCUGAAGGGGAAUGUUUGCUACACUUCCAUUGCCUAUAAAUAAAACAAAACUAUGUAGAUGUUUUCCAAGUAUAGCAAAAGGAAGCAGCGGAGGAUUGGAGGAGACCCCAAUGUGUUGAAAGCGUGGCAUGACUUUUAUGCCGAAGUCUUCUUGGGGGAAUCAAUUUAAAUUCAUAAGCCGAUGCAUCACUUCAUUACCACCACAGAGGAUUACCGAGCAAAGAGGGUGGUGGGAGAAAAACGCAUUAAAAAUCAUGUAAACAAAAGCAGCGACUAAUUUAACACGACUCAUAAUGCGCCUGCUAUUACGCAGCUCCCAAUGGGAACGUGUUUAUUAUUAACUCUCAGCUGGGUGCAGUCGUGGUUAAAUCUUCUGCAAACGCAAUAAGCAGCACCUGAUGAUUCAGGUGGUGGCAUUUCUGAUACUGGAAGCACCAUUUCUCUGCUUCCUUCUUUCCCCCUUUAAUCCAUGCACAUUCACGUCUGUAAUAAUGAAGAUAUUCCUGAUGGGGAAAAUGAAUGGAAAUAGUGAAGAGAAGACUGAAGGGUUAACAUAACUGUACUCUUUAAAUAUAUCAGACAGCCCUGGAAAGAGGGGCAGGUUUAUUCUCUGCUGCCUCAAAGGAUGGGAUCAGGUCUAAUGGCCUGAAGUUUCAGGAGGGUAGAUUUUGAUUGGACUUUCUAAUUGUAAGAAUGGUACAGCGAUGGAUCCAAUUGCAUAGAAAGUUCAGAAUGUAUGGAAGAAGAGAGGUUGUAGGAUUGUGCACAGAUUCGGUUUGGUCAGUUCUCUUCAGCCAAUCUUGCUCAUUCAGGUAUAGGAGUCAGGUUUCCAUGAGAAGCUGAGAGCAAAUGGGAAGCUUGAAUGGGAAGAAAGAAGCAGCAAGAGAGUUGUAACUUUGAGCAAGCUAAGAUGAAUAUCCAAACGCCCCAUCUGCACUGCCAUAUAAUGCAGUUUGAAGCUACAUUGUAUGGUGAGUACAAUUAUAGACAUUAUAUGUCCACGCUGACCAUAUAAAGCAGUUUUAAACUGCAUUAUAAGACAGUGUAGGUGGGAUAUUAAUCUCUGCAUGCUGGGUUCAAAACAAGGAAUCAAUAGGGUGGGUCAUGCUGCAUGUCUGUAUCCAUGAACCUCCAAAUUGUCUGCUGACUUAUGAUUUUACUAGGAUCUUCUCAAGCUGUGCUUUGCUUAUGGGUAUGGAUUUGCCUUGGGCAGAGGCCCAUGCUCAGUGGCAGAUGUGUGUGCUUUAGCAACAGGAAAUCACAGAUUGAAUUCUUGGCAUGUCCUGGAUUUAGAUCUUUAAGCUGGGCAGCUAAUAAUGUGAAUGACCUUUCCUUCAGGAAUCACUGUUCAUCAAACUAGGCUAGAGAAACAACUAGACUGAAAUGACACAUCGAACUGAGUUUUGUUCCCUUCCUCACUUGUUGAGGGUCUACUUGUGUGUCUCUAAAUAAACCACAGGUUGGAAAGACAUUGGAGCCUAAACUGUAUUGUCUUCCCUUGCUAAAAUAUACCAAUUGAACCAAUGAGAUUGACCUAUGUUUUUUAUUAUGUCAGAAGCGACUCAAGAACAUACUGCUAGUCCCUUCUGGUGUGAGAGAAUUGGCCAUCUACAGAGACGUUGCCCAAGGGAUGCCCAGAUGUGUUAGCUGGGGGGCUUUUCUCAUAUCCUCACAAGCUAGAGCUGACAAACGGGAGCUUGCCCCAUCUCACAGAUUCGAACCAGAAACCUUCAGGUCAGAAACCCAACCUUCAGGUCAACCAGGCCUGGGCAAACUUUGGCUCUCCAGGUGUUUUGGACUUCAACUCCCAGAAAUUCCAGCUAGCUUACCAGCUGUUAGGAAUUGUGGGAGUUGGUCCAAAUCACCUGAGGGCCGAAGUUUGCCCAUGCCUGGUUUAACCCAUUACGCUACCGCAGCUCCAUUGACCUAUGAGUUCAUAUGCCAAUGGGACAGCUCUAGUGAAGACAACCAAGAGAAUUCAGAGCCAUCCAUUUCCAUCAUUCCAUCUUCCAAAGGAAAGUUUUGCAAUUGCUAGCAAUCGAAAAACACAGUAUUUACUAGUAAGCUUUGAAAUCUCUCACUCCUUAAGAAAAGAUGGACCAUGCAAUGCUUCCUCUGACUCCUAACUACCUGACCUUUCCCGCCUUGAUAUUGUCCUCCCAUCUCUUGAUACACUGGAAGGAAGAGAAAAAGGAAAGAGGCCUCCUCUAAAGAUCUACAUAUUCUUUUGGUUCCAAUUAAGCCCCAGCAAUUGUUCAUUAAACCAAUGUUUGCGGCCGCAUCCCUCCUCCUGGGGCAAUGCCGGAUGAAAGAAGCGUUCCAGGCCUCAGAUUGGAUUUGAUUUCCUUUCGCUCAGCGGCCAGCAUUUCAGUUUAAUGACCUGCCUUCCUUCUCCCUCCUCAUCCACCUUAAUCCUGGAGGUCGCCAGGGUAUAUUUCUCUCAGUGGCACACUUCAUUAGCAAUUCUCUGCAAGGGUGUCAGGAACAUACUGCUUCUGAAUAAUUGAGCAUGCUCUCCAGCAACUGGCCUGCUGUGGGUUGAUACGCUAAAGUCCCCAGAACUUUCUUUGGUCACACGGACGAAUGAUUGUGCGCUCGGCUUUCUGCGGAGCAAGAAAUUUCACUUCCACAUUAACACUUCCCCUCUUGUCUUUCCUCCCAAUCUAGCGUUCCAGCCACAGAUGGAUGCACAAGGAUAAACUUCUUGGAGUGCCUACUUUUUCCAAAUAUCCACUCCAGUGCAUACUGGGCUCCUUCUUCCACGAUUCUCCAAACUGCCUCACUUUCAAUGGGAGAUUUAAUUUAAGGAGGGAGAAAUAAUAACACAUCAUUAAAAAAAACUUAGCAAUGCUGAUUUUAGCCUUUUAAAUGCUACAGGAGCUAAAAUCAUAUUGACGUAAUCUUUGGUCAGUUAAAAAUAAGUACUGUAUAUACUCGAGUAUAAGCCUAGUUUUUCAGCCCUUUUUUUAAGCCUGAAAAAGCCCCACUCGGCUUAUACUCGGGUGAGGGUCCUGGUUGGCUUAUAUUUGGGUCAGCUUAUACUCGAGAAUAUAUGGUACAUUUAUUAUUUUCCUCUAUAAUUGUUGCUACUAUUACAUUUAUUUUACUCUAUUAUUAUUAUUACAGUAACGUCUCACUUAUCCAACAUAAACGGACCAGCAGAAUGUUGGAUGUGAUUAUGUUGGAUAAUAAGGAGGGAUCAAGGCAAAGCCUAUUAAACAUCAAAUUAGGUUAAGAUUGUACAAAUUAAGCACCAAAACAUCAUGUUAUACAACACAUUUGACAGAAAAAGUAGUUCAAUACGAAAUAAUGCUAUGUAGUAAUUCUGUGUUUACGAAUUUAGCACCAAAAUAUCACAAUUUAUUGAAAACAUUGACUACAAAAAUGCGUUGGAUAAUCCAGAACGUUGGAUAAGUGAGACUCUACUGUAUUUAUACAUUUAUUAUUUCACUGAUAUUAUUAUUAUUAUUAUUAUUAUUAUUGCAUUUAUUAUUUUACUCUGUUUAUUAUUACAUAUAUUAUUUUCCUGUAUUUAUUAUUAUUAUUAUUACAUGUAUUAUUUUACUCUAUUAUUAUUAAAAAGAUACAUAAGCACAUUUACCUUGAAGAAGAUGAGAAUAAUGAUUUGAUCAGAGUUGGACAGUCUUAUCUUAAAUUUGAGCUUUAUGUAAAUAUUCAAAAACAUUUAACCUAUUCAAUGUAAUUAUAUUGGUAUCUAUUUUUAUUUCUGAAAUUUAACACCCUCGGCUUAUACUGGAGACAAUGUUUUCCCUGUUUUUUUGUGGUAAAAUUAGGUACCUCGGCUUGUAUUUGGGUCGGCUUAUACUCGAGUAUAUAUGGUACUUUUUAUCUCCGAUAA